AACUUUCAGCAAUGGAUCUCUUGGUUCUGGCAUCGAUGAAGAACGCAGCGAAAUGCGAUAAGUAAUGUGAAUUGCAGAAUUCCGCGAAUCAUCGAAUCUUUGAACGCACAUUGCGCCCGUUAGUAUUCUAGCGGGCAUGCCUGUUCGAGCGUCAUUUCGACCCUCAAGCCUAAGAGCUUGGUGCUGGGGCACUACGGCCAAGCGCCGUAGGCCCCGAAAAACAUUGGCGGGCCUGUCGGACCCCGAGCGUAGUAAAUCUUCUCGCUUAGGCGGUACAGCAGCGCACUAGCCACUAAACUACGGCGGCCCCAAGGGGCCGUCUCCACUGGUUGACCUCGGAUCAGGUAGGAAUACCCGCUGAACUUAAGCAUAUCAAUAAGCGGAGGCU
RNAcentral lists this unclassified non-coding RNA (388 nucleotides) under uncultured Sordariomycetes. RNAcentral describes it as "sequence contains ITS2". The stretch from base 1 to 154 matches the Rfam family "5.8S ribosomal RNA". The record is from RNAcentral. Lineage: Eukaryota; Fungi; Ascomycota; Sordariomycetes.